AGAGUUUGAUCCUGGUCCACGAUGAACGCUGGCGGCGUGCUUAGUACAUGCAAGUCGAACGGAGAGCCUUUGUAGCAAUACAGAGGUUUCUUAGUGGCGAACGGGUGCGUAUCGCGUUGGUGACCUGCCCCAAAGUGUGGGAUAGCCCGUCGAAAGGACUGCUAAUACCGCAUGUGGUCAUUGGGUUUAGAAGCCGAUGACUAAAGCAGUAAUGCGCUUCGGGAGGGACCUGCGUCCCAUCAGCUAGUUGGUGAGGUAACGGCUCACCAAGGCUACGACGGGUAGGGGACCUGAGAGGGUGGUCCCCCACACUGGCACUGAAACACGGGCCAGACACCUACGGGUGGCAGCAGUAGGGAAUAUUGGGCAAUGGGCGAAAGCCUGACCCAGCAACGCCGCGUGCACGAUGAAGGUCUUCGGAUCGUAAAGUGCUUUUCUGAGAGAUGAGAAAGGACAGUAUCUCAGGAAUAAGUCUCGGCUAACUACGUGCCAGCAGCCGCGGUAAAACGUAGGAGGCAAGCGUUAUCCGGAUUUACUGGGCGUAAAGCGUGUGCAGGUGGUUUGGUAAGUUGGAUGUGAAAGCUCCCGGCUCAACUGGGAGAGGUCGUUCAAUACUACCAGACUCGAGAGCAGUAGAGGGAGGUGGAAUUCCCGGUGUAGUGGUGAAAUGCGUAGAUAUCGGGAGGAACACCAGUGGCGAAAGCGGCCUCCUGGACUGUUUCUGACACUCAGACACGAAAGCUAGGGUAGCAAACGGGAUUAGAGACCCCCGGUAGUCCUAGCUGUAAACGAUGUGAACUUGGCGUCGGCGGGUUCAAAGCCGUCCGGUGCCCGA
Molecule: ribosomal RNA, 835 nt
Filed under: uncultured bacterium
Lineage: Bacteria
Description: bacterial SSU rRNA
Rfam family: Bacterial small subunit ribosomal RNA
Source: RNAcentral